RNAcentral lists this ribosomal RNA (429 nucleotides) under Actinomycetes bacterium. Its description in RNAcentral is "Actinobacteria bacterium partial 16S ribosomal RNA". It matches the Rfam family "Bacterial small subunit ribosomal RNA", at positions 355 to 776 of the family's 1533-position model. Lineage: Bacteria; Bacillati; Actinomycetota; Actinomycetes. The record is from RNAcentral.
UAGGGAAUCUUCCGCAAUGGGCGAAAGCCUGACGGAGCAACGCCGCGUGAGUGAUGAAGGUCUUCGGAUCGUAAAACUCUGUUAUUAGGGAAGAACAAAUGUGUAAGUAACUAUGCACGUCUUGACGGUACCUAAUCAGAAAGCCACGGCUAACUACGUGCCAGCAGCCGCGGUAAUACGUAGGUGGCAAGCGUUAUCCGGAAUUAUUGGGCGUAAAGCGCGCGUAGGCGGUUUUUUAAGUCUGAUGUGAAAGCCCACGGCUCAACCGUGGAGGGUCAUUGGAAACUGGAAAACUUGGGUGCAGAAGAGGAAAGUGGAAUUCCAUGUGUAGCGGUGAAAUGCGCAGAGAUAUGGAGGAACACCAGUGGCGAAGGCGACGUUCUGGUCUGUAACUGACGCUGAUGUGCGAAAGCGUGGGGAUCAAACAGG